UACGUAGGGGGCUAGCGUUGUCCGGAAUCAUUGGGCGUAAAGAGCGUGUAGGCGGCUCGGUAAGUCCGCUGUAAAAGUCAAAGGCUCAACCUUUGAAUGUCAGUGGAUACUGCCGGGCUAGAGUCCGGAAGAGGCGAGUGGAACUCCUGGUGUAGCGGUGGAAUGCGCAGGUAUCAGGAAGAACACCAACGGCGAAGGCAGCUCGCUGGGACGGUACUGACGCUGAGACGCGAAAGCGUGGGGAGCGAACAGG
Molecule: ribosomal RNA, 253 nt
Filed under: uncultured bacterium
Lineage: Bacteria
Description: partial 16S ribosomal RNA
Rfam family: Bacterial small subunit ribosomal RNA
Source: RNAcentral